UGUUAAAAGUAGAAAGAAGUAAAAUCUCCUGUGCCUUGAGUUUCAGCUUUCUGUUCAUGCUAAGAAAUGCAUGGCUACAGAAAUGAAUUCUUCAUUCAUUCAGCCAACGUUUCUUGAGGAGCUGCUAUCAUCAAGGCACCCACAGAAACAUUACAAGAAUGCAGAGUCGCAGCAGAUACAUUCUUAUGCUGGGUCUGCACUUUGUCUCCACAGUUAAUCUAGCCGACACAGCAUCAUCUUUGAACAAUAGAAGGUGUGGCAAUAUGACAUUACCUCCAGAGAGCUCCAGAGCAGCAAAAGCAUUCACAGAUCCGAAUGCAUCUCCAAGUGCCAAGAAUAUAGCUGAUACAUAUGGGAAUUGUUCCAAAAGACCCAUAUGGCAAUGAACAGCUUUAAACACUCCCAGCUGAUGCUGGGUGGGAGCUGGUGUCUUCCUGUGAAAUGUGCUCCACCUAAAACUAUCUUACUGCAAGAUACUGUGCUAGUUCGCUCCCAUUGCCUGAUGCUGGAAAUUUCAAGAUCAAAGUGUCUUCAGGGCUGGUUGCUGUUGUGGCCUCUCUCCUCGGCUUGUAGAGUCACCUUCUCA
Long non-coding RNA from Orcinus orca (killer whale), 586 nucleotides. RefSeq lists it as uncharacterized. The transcript is spliced from 5 exons. The record is from RefSeq and is a predicted model, not a curated record. Lineage: Eukaryota; Metazoa; Chordata; Mammalia; Artiodactyla; Delphinidae.